Molecule: ribosomal RNA, 459 nt
Filed under: uncultured bacterium
Lineage: Bacteria
Description: partial 16S ribosomal RNA
Rfam family: Bacterial small subunit ribosomal RNA
Source: RNAcentral
CCUACGGGUGACAGCAGUGAGGAAUAUUGGUCAAUGGGCGUAAGCCUGAACCAGCCAAGUCGCGUGAGGGAUGAAGGUUCUAUGGAUCGUAAACCUCUUUUAUAAGGGAAUAAAGUGCGGGACGUGUCCCGGUUUGUAUGUACCUUAUGAAUAAGGAUCGGCUAACUCCGUGCCAGCAGCCGCGGUAAUACGGAGGAUGCGAGCGUUAUCCGGAUUUAUUGGGUUUAAAGGGUGCGCAGGCGGAAGGUCAAGUCAGCGGUAAAAGUGAGAGGCUCAACCUCGUCGAGCCGUUGAAACUGGUAGUCUCGAGUGAGAGAGAAGUAUGCGGAAUGCGUGGUGUAGCGGUGAAAUGCAUAGAUAUCACGCAGAACUCCGAUUGCGAAGGCAGCAUGCCGGCGCUAAACUGACGCUGAUGCACGAAAGUGUGGGUAUCGAACAGGAUUAGAUACCCGAGUAGUC